This 628-nucleotide long non-coding RNA is filed under the name Pan troglodytes (chimpanzee). RNAcentral's name for it is "long non-coding RNA NONPTRT005140". Lineage: Eukaryota; Metazoa; Chordata; Mammalia; Primates; Hominidae. The record is from RNAcentral.
UCUCUAUUAAAAGAACACGAAACGUCACUUCCACACGACCUGCAAUUUCUAGAAUGGAGAGAAAGCUUCAGUAAACAUUCAGUAAUAGCAUGCAACAAAGGCAAGUAAAGGCUGUAAUAGAACACUGGCAUGGUGUUCUUAAAAGAAUAAUAUUAUUUGUCCUGUAUUUAGCCAACAUAAAGAUGUAUUGCUCUUGUUUUCUCAUGGUGGGAGAUAUGAAGUUAUGAAGAGAUAGUUACUGGAUCAAAAUAGGAAGAAAUGAUGCCUGGCAGCUAGAAAAAAAUAUUCAUGUGCAUUGAUUACACAAUAAACAAGUAAAUACAGUGGGCCCUACAUCCAAUGACUGGUGUUCUCAUAAGGAGAGAGAGACAAAGAGUAGACAGACACAAGGGAGAAGGCCGUGUGAAGAUGGAGGCAGAGAUUGGAAUGAUACAGCCACAAGCCAAGAAACAUCUGCGGCCGUCAGAAGUUGGAAGAGGCAAGGAAUGAUUUAUUCUUUCCCACUCAUUGUUUCACCAAUGAGCACCUUCCAUGUGCCACCGUUCUGACCGUGCUGACAACGUGGUUUCAGACUUCUGGCCCCCAGAACUGUGAAAGAGUAAAUUUCUGUUAAGUUAUCUUGCUUGUG